RNAcentral lists this long non-coding RNA (606 nucleotides) under Mytilus galloprovincialis (Mediterranean mussel). The record is from RNAcentral. Lineage: Eukaryota; Metazoa; Mollusca; Bivalvia; Mytilida; Mytilidae.
UUCGGCGGCAUGUGUAUGUCUAGAAAAAAAGACAACAUCCAGACUAUACGUGCUCUUCAUGACAUCGUUAUAACAUGUUGAGGUCAAAUUUCUAGUUAAAUAAAUAAAAAUCUUGAUAAGAAAUGCAACUUGCUGAUAUACGUUAUCAUUAAUCAAACGGAAUACAAAAGGAUGUCGAAUGAAGGGAUUUUGCAGAAAACGUAACAAUGACACAACAUCUGAUUCGUGAUGGCCUCUGUUGUAUCUUUAUUGUCCCUGAACGAGGAUAGUAUAGAUGAUGGAAAAAAGAAAUUGGCUAAAAAGAUAGCAACCCGAUUGAAGAGCAGAAAACGGCUCUAGACCAAUAAUAGGUCUUCAAUGCGUUGAGAAACUCCCGCACCUAGAGGCAAAAUUGAGCUGACUCCAAAACAAUAAUGUACACAAGUUUAACAAAAUUGACGCCAUACUUAACUCCAAAACAUACAAACGAAUCGAACUUUUAAAACACUAAUAACUAACAAAGAGUUACUUUGGAAAGAAACAAAAAUGCGGCAGGUUACUCGUGUUCUUUGCGAUUUAAGCCCAUCCCUGUACAUCUAGCCAAUGUGGAAUAAAAUUAACGAAAAC